RNAcentral lists this ribosomal RNA (253 nucleotides) under uncultured bacterium. RNAcentral describes it as "partial 16S ribosomal RNA". It matches the Rfam family "Bacterial small subunit ribosomal RNA", at positions 524 to 776 of the family's 1533-position model. The record is from RNAcentral.
UACGGGGGGUGCAAGCGUUGUUCGGAAUUACUGGGCGUAAAGGGCGCGUAGGCGGGUGGACAAGUCUCUCGUGAAAGCCCACGGCUCAACCGUGGAAUUGCGGGAGAUACUGUCUGUCUUGAGUCCGGGAGAGGAGGGGUGAAUUCCCAGUGUAGCGGUGAAAUGCGUAGAUAUUGGGAGGAACACCGGUGGCGAAGGCGGCUCUCUGGACCGGUACUGACGCUGAGGCGCGAAAGCUAGGGGAGCAAACGGG